GCGCCUAUAGCUCAAUGGAUAGGGCGUCGCACUUCGGAUGCGAAGAUUGAGGGUUCGAGUCCUUCUAGGCGUA
Molecule: transfer RNA, 73 nt
Filed under: Prasinoderma coloniale
Lineage: Eukaryota; Viridiplantae; Prasinodermophyta; Prasinodermophyceae; Prasinodermales; Prasinodermaceae
Description: tRNA-Arg
Rfam family: tRNA
About the family: Transfer RNA (tRNA) molecules are approximately 80 nucleotides in length. Their secondary structure includes four short double-helical elements and three loops (D, anti-codon, and T loops).
Source: RNAcentral